Molecule: long non-coding RNA, 690 nt
Organism: Triplophysa rosa
Lineage: Eukaryota; Metazoa; Chordata; Actinopteri; Cypriniformes; Nemacheilidae
Exons: 4
Source: RefSeq, a predicted model, not a curated record
GUUAACUCACUCUCCUGUCUUUGCUUCUUCAAGCAGAUGCUGAAAAUCAUUGGACGCUAUAUGCACAGAACUCUUGGACGCUAUAUGCACAGAACUCCUACCGCUGUGUAGAGGACAAAUAGAAAUAAGAAGAUAACAUAAAACAGAAAGAUGUCUUGAAAAGCCCAAACCCAAGAUCACCUCUGCUCAUCGGCUGGGGUUGAAGAUGAGCGCCACCUGCCGGCCACAGCUCCACUAAAAGAAGAAGUUACUGACUGGCGUAAGAAUGUGGAGGCCAUGUCUGGAAUGGAGGGCAGGAAAAAGCUUUUUUAUGCUGGUCAAUAAAAUGUAAAUAAUGAAGUCACAGAUGGCAUGACAUGUUUUUCCCCUUCAUUUUACACUUUAUAAUAAGGUUUGCAAUAAAUUUGUAAGUGAAUGCAUUUGAUAACCUGAACUAACAAUGAGCAAUAUAGUUUUCAAGCAUGCAUUAUUAUUUUGUGUUAAUGUUAAUGCCAAUACAGUUCAUCGUGUUCGUUCCUUGUGCAUUAACUAAUGUUUUAAAAAUGUAUAGUAAAUGCUGAAAUUAAAAUAAACUAAGAUUAACAAAUGCUGUAUAAGUAGCUAGUUUUUGCAUUAACUAAUGUUAAUUAUAACUCUAAUUGUAACGUGUUAUCAUUUUAUUUUAUGUUAUUUCACAGACAUUUCUCUAUG